Molecule: ribosomal RNA, 514 nt
Filed under: Isostichopus badionotus
Lineage: Eukaryota; Metazoa; Echinodermata; Holothuroidea; Aspidochirotida; Stichopodidae
Description: partial 16S ribosomal RNA
Rfam family: Bacterial large subunit ribosomal RNA
Source: RNAcentral
AGAUAACCCUUUGAAACAAGAUAAAGGGUAGAGCCUGCCCAGUGGGAAACUUUUCCUCAACGGCCGCGGUAUCUUGACCGUGCAAAGGUAGCAUAAUCAUUUGUCUCUUAAAUGGGGACCUGUAUGAAUGGCUUUUCAUUCUCUAGCUGUCUCCCUUCUUCUCCCUUUAAACUUCUAUUUACGUGAAGAAGCGUAAUUUUGACAGAAAGACGAGAAGACCCUGUCGAGCUUCAGCUAAACCUAAGUCCCACUACAUUUCCUCUCAGAGAAAAAGUAAAGUCCUUAGAACAAGCUUUGGUUGGGGCAACCAUGGAGUAAAAACAGCCUCCAGUUUUUCAGGUAGAAAACUAUUCUCCUAAAUAUACACUUUUAGAACCAAAAAUUUUGGAAAACGGAAAAAGUUACCGCAGGGAUAACAGCGUUAUCUUUUCUGAGAGCCCUUAUUGACGAAAAGGAUUGCGACCUCGAUGUUGGAUUGGGGUAACCAGAGGGUGCAGCAGCUCUCCAAGGUCGG